ACAUAAGCAAAGACAGGGAAGAGUACGAUACAAACCUGCUUCAAGAGAGGGAAAUCAUUAGCUGGAAGAUUUCCUAAGCAGCAUAUCGGAAGGUCACCCACGAGCUUCUUCUGCGAACGGAUCUAAACAUCCUAUUAGUUGAAGACGGACUAAAUCCGUUAUCUACAUAAGUGCCAAUCCGUUUUUUGGAUUGGAAAAAAGGUGGUACCGCGAAGCAAACUCCAUUCGUCCUUUUA
Molecule: non-coding RNA, 236 nt
Filed under: Bacillus sp. (in: firmicutes)
Lineage: Bacteria; Bacillati; Bacillota; Bacilli; Caryophanales; Bacillaceae
Description: Bacillus sp. T-box sequence
Rfam family: T-box leader
About the family: Uncharged tRNA acts as the effector for transcription antitermination of genes in the T-box leader family. T-boxes are found upstream of many aminoacyl-tRNA synthetase genes and some amino acid biosynthetic genes usually in Gram-positive bacteria.
Source: RNAcentral